GUCUAUGGCCACGCCAUCCUGAACAAGCCUGAUGUCUGAUCUCGGAAGCUAAGCAGGGUCGGGCCUGGUUAGUACUUGGAUAGGAGACCACCUAGGAAGAACAGGUGCUGUAAGCA
RNAcentral lists this ribosomal RNA (116 nucleotides) under Pteropus alecto (black flying fox). The record is from RNAcentral. Lineage: Eukaryota; Metazoa; Chordata; Mammalia; Chiroptera; Pteropodidae.